UUGAAUGAAUAGGGGAACUGUUGCUGGCCCGUCAAAGGGCAUGUGCACGCUCCUCAAUUUUCCUUCUCCACCUGUGCACCCUUUGUAGACUUUGGAAGACCCUCUCGAGGCGACUCGGAUGGAGGGUCGCUGAUUCAUUUUCAGCUUCCCUUGCGCUUCCAGGUCUAUGCAUUCUUAUACACGCUUUAAAUGUCUCAGAAUGUCUUUCAUGGCUUGCCGUAAAAAAGCAAAGCUUUAAACUUAAUACAACUUUCAACAACGGAUCUCUUGGCUCUCGCAUCGAUGAAGAACGCAGCGAAAUGCGAUAAGUAAUGUGAAUUGCAGAAUUCAGUGAAUCAUCGAAUCUUUGAACGCACCUUGCGCUCCUUGGUAUUCCGAGGAGCAUGCCUGUUUGAGUGUCAUUAAAUUCUCAACCUCUCCGGCUUUUUUGGCUGGGCGAGGAUUGGAUGUGGGGGUUGUGCUGGCUUCGUCAAAGAGGUCGGCUCCCCUUAAAUGCAUUAGCGGGAACGUCUUGCGGACCGUCACUUGGUGUGAUAAUUAUCUACGCCUCAUGACUGCGAUGCUCUUGUUCUGCUUCUAACCGUCCAUUGACUUGGACAGCUUUUUUGACAAUUUGACCUCAAAUCAGGUAGGACUACCCGCUGAACUUAA
Molecule: small RNA, 651 nt
Filed under: Xeromphalina kauffmanii
Lineage: Eukaryota; Fungi; Basidiomycota; Agaricomycetes; Agaricales; Mycenaceae
Description: eukaryotic LSU rRNA
Rfam family: 5.8S ribosomal RNA (bases 248-401)
Source: RNAcentral